AUACGGGGGAUGCAAGCGUUAUUCGGAAUCAUUGGGCGUAAAGGGCACGCAGGCGGUUCUGUCAGUCAGAUGUGAAGGCCCGGGGCUUAACCCCGGACGUGCAUUUGAAACAGCAGGACUUGAGUAUGGUAGAGGAAGGCGGAAUUCCUGGUGUAGAGGUGAAAUUCGUAGAUAUCAGGAGGAACACCGGUGGCGAAGGCGGCUUUCUGGACCAAAACUGACGCUGAGGUGCGAAGGCGUGGGUAGCGAACAGGAUUAGAAACCCUAGUAGUCC
Molecule: ribosomal RNA, 274 nt
Filed under: uncultured bacterium
Lineage: Bacteria
Description: partial 16S ribosomal RNA
Rfam family: Bacterial small subunit ribosomal RNA
Source: RNAcentral